This is a long non-coding RNA of Rhea pennata, 1022 nucleotides long. RefSeq lists it as uncharacterized. The transcript is spliced from 6 exons. NCBI's taxonomy places the organism in Eukaryota, Metazoa, Chordata, Aves, Rheiformes, Rheidae. The record is from RefSeq and is a predicted model, not a curated record.
CAGGCGGGCCCAGCCGGGCGCAGAGGGGCCCCGAGGGGCGCGUCAGGGCACCAUCGCCCCCGGCUCGGCCAGCACACGUCCAGGAGUCGCCCGGGAGGAGCGGAGGAAGCAGCGUGUGUCGUGGCUGCGGAGCAAUCCCACUCAGCUCUCCCUGAAGUAGUUUGGUCGGAGAUGAACCAUGGGAAGGCCACAAAGUAGCGCAAUGUAUGUUUGCACUGCAACCCCACUGUGCCAAUUAGCAGCCUAAAUCUGUUUGAAAUGACUCACACCCAGCUGGCUGAGAAAGCAUGAGCACGAAGGAAGUUUAGCCUUAUUGGUUACGAAACUCUCUGGCGAUGGGAUGAGCAGCCGAGGAAGUCACGUGAGUGAAGGAAGCCGAGGCCAGCGAGAGGUCUUGUCAGACUGAGAGGUGAACCGGGGAUAUGUGGUGAGAAAAGGAUUUAUGCAAGAGGCACAGCAGAGAGCGGGAAGGGAGGAAGUCCGGACAGCUCUGGAGGCAGCUUCUCCAACCCCCCAGCGUUAGUACGCUCACGCUGCAGCUGUCCCUGUGAGCAGUUCCAGAUGUUGACUUUCACCAGGAGCAGUGGAUGCUACAGUGAGAGGGUACAGAUAUAGACUGCUUGUAUAAUCUUAAACCGAAAUGGUCAAAACUUUGGAAGCUUCUCCCAUCUGUCAAACCAAAGAUGAAACAUGCAAAAAAAAAACCCAAACAAACAAACAAACAAACAAAAAAAAACUCUUCAUUGAAAGGUUCACUUGAUUUGCUGGUGAUGUUAUUUAGGCUGGAAGGGUUUCCUGAAGAAACAGGUGAUAUAGUCCUGAAGCAGACUGACCAUCUUCAUGGCAAUAAAGGCAAAUUAUUACUUCUUCAGAGCCUUCUAAAACCAACUCAGGGACAGAACAAAUCAAAAUCCUGUAUUACGAUUUUUUCAUUGUGAGGAAUCAUGUUUGGUUAUUGCAGAUACUACUUAUGCAACAUUUUUUUUUAAUGGCACUGUAUUUUACUCUGAGCAUUCUUUUAA